UAACCUGCCUGGUAGCGGGGGAUAACUAUUGGAGACGAUAGCUAAUACCGCAUAAGAGUAGAUGUUGCAUGACAUUUGCUUAAAAGGUGCAAUUGCAUCACUACCAGAUGGACCUGCGUUGUAUUAGCUAGUUGGUGGGGUAACGGCUCACCAAGGCGACGAUACAUAGCCGACCUGAGAGGGUGAUCGGCCACACUGGGACUGAGACACGGCCCAG
Molecule: ribosomal RNA, 217 nt
Filed under: uncultured bacterium
Lineage: Bacteria
Description: partial 16S ribosomal RNA
Rfam family: Bacterial small subunit ribosomal RNA
Source: RNAcentral